RNAcentral lists this ribosomal RNA (465 nucleotides) under uncultured bacterium. RNAcentral's name for it is "partial 16S ribosomal RNA". It matches the Rfam family "Bacterial small subunit ribosomal RNA", at positions 28 to 507 of the family's 1533-position model. The record is from RNAcentral.
GACGAACGCUGGCGGCGUGCUUAACACAUGCAAGUCGUACGGUAAGGCCCUUUCGGGGGUACACGAGUGGCGAACGGGUGCGUAACACGUGAGUAACCUGCCCACAACUUUGGGAUAACGCUAGGAAACUGGUGCUAAUACUGGAUAUGUGCUCCAGCUGCAUGGUGGGGGUUGGAAAGCUCCGGCGGUUGUGGAUGGACUCGCGGCCUAUCAGCUUGUUGGUGGGGUAGUGGCCUACCAAGGCGGCGACGGGUAGCCGGCCUGAGAGGGUGACCGGCCACAUUGGGACUGAGAUACGGCCCAGACUCCUACGGGAGGCAGCAGUGGGGAAUAUUGCACAAUGGGCGCAAGCCUGAUGCAGCAACGCCGCGUGCGGGAUGACGGCCUUCGGGUUGUAAACCGCUUUCAGCAGGGACGAAGCUUUUUGUGACGGUACCUGCAGAAGAAGCACCGGCUAACUACGUG